Molecule: unclassified non-coding RNA, 236 nt
Filed under: Hevea brasiliensis (rubber tree)
Lineage: Eukaryota; Viridiplantae; Streptophyta; Magnoliopsida; Malpighiales; Euphorbiaceae
Source: RNAcentral
GGCGAAGUGAUAGGGUUAAUUGAGGAACACUUAGAGAAAGGUGAUCUGGAAAAAGUAGUUAGAGGGUUGCUUGAGUUUGACCUAAAACGGGCAGACUUUGAUUCAUCACCUUACAACAUUUGGUUGAUUGGGAUGUGUCAGGAAUGCAAGCCACACGAGGCUUUGAAGAUUUUUUCCUUACUUGUGGAGUUUGACGUCAUGGUUUCAGCCCCAAGUUGUGUAAUGUUGAUUCAUAG